GUGUAGAAUAUUCUGGAUAUCGUGAAGUAUGCAUGAAAGUUGUGAGUGGUCAAUAAGGGAUCAGUCACUCCUAAUAAGGGGAGCAAAGAUCCUAUAUGAUCUCACAGGAUGAUGAUUCGAAAAGCCUUUGGCCAAAGUAGGAUGAUAAUUAGAAAAGAGUUUCUAAUACAUCAUCAAUUGAAUCAUCACCUUCUAAUCAAGAUAUAUA
This 208-nucleotide long non-coding RNA is filed under the name Elaeis guineensis (African oil palm). RNAcentral's name for it is "long non-coding RNA (EGUI_LNC042960)". Lineage: Eukaryota; Viridiplantae; Streptophyta; Magnoliopsida; Arecales; Arecaceae. The record is from RNAcentral.